RNAcentral lists this long non-coding RNA (225 nucleotides) under Homo sapiens (human). Its description in RNAcentral is "HSALNT0044921". Lineage: Eukaryota; Metazoa; Chordata; Mammalia; Primates; Hominidae. The record is from RNAcentral.
CAGCGACCGCAUGGAGGAAGGGGCGGCAGGUGCGCGGCGCUGGAAGAACCGGCGGCUGGGAGAGCAUCUCUGCCUCGCCCAUCUUGCCCCCUCCCCACCUCCGCUCUGGCGUUGGGACGGGAGGAGGAGGGAGGAAUGGAACCAGGGAGUCCGAAGUACAGCUUUGACAACUGUCGCGCUGGCCGGGUUUUGUCACUCAUGCCAUCCCUAAUACCUCCUCCCGAC